Molecule: ribosomal RNA, 470 nt
Filed under: uncultured Bacteroidota bacterium
Lineage: Bacteria; Pseudomonadati; Bacteroidota
Description: bacterial SSU rRNA
Rfam family: Bacterial small subunit ribosomal RNA
Source: RNAcentral
AGUCGAGGGGUAACAGGGAGCUUCGGUUCCGCUGACGACCGGCGCACGGGUGCGUAACGCGUAUGAAACCUGCCUUAUACUGGGGGAUAGCCCGAAGAAAUUCGGAUAAUACCCCAUAAUAUAAUUGAUUGGCAUCAAUUAAUUAUUAAAACUCCGGUGGUAUAAGAUGGUCAUGCGUGACAUUAGCUAGUUGGUGAGGUAACGGCUCACCAAGGCGACGAUGUCUAGGGGUUCUGAGAGGAAGGUCCCCCACACUGGUACUGAGACACGGACCAGACUCCUACGGGAGGCAGCAGUGAGGAAUAUUGGUCAAUGGACGCAAGUCUGAACCAGCCAUGUCGCGUGCGGGAAGACUGCCCUAUGGGUUGUAAACUGCUUUUAUACGGGAAGAAUUGUAGCUACGUGUAGUUAUUUGCCGGUACCGUAUGAAUAAGCAUCGGCUAACUCCGUGCCAGCAGCCGCGGUAAUAC